This is a long non-coding RNA of Stylophora pistillata, 1245 nucleotides long. RefSeq lists it as uncharacterized. NCBI's taxonomy places the organism in Eukaryota, Metazoa, Cnidaria, Anthozoa, Scleractinia, Pocilloporidae. The record is from RefSeq and is a predicted model, not a curated record.
UCCAGGUGUGUGUGGUAAAAUGUUUUUAUUUUUAAACUUGAGUAGCAAGACUUUAAAUAGUCACCGAGUUACUUAUUAGAGCGGGAAUGAGUGAGAAUGAUUUGCGCGGUGAGGACGUAAGUUGUAGGCAUCUGACUGCCUUUGAAAAACGAUUCAGCAGAGUGUUCUGAAAAUGACAUAAAUUAUAAGAAUGUUCCUUAGCGACAUAGAGGAAGGGGAAACCUAGUCAGUGAUGAUAUUGUAUGCAUUGGAUAAGGUGCAACUCUUUUCAGUGCUUUGUUUCAUCUAACAAUAGAAUGGUUUUCCUACCAUUAUUCAAAUCAACGUUUUAAGCUUUCGAGAAGCAAGCUCAUUUCUACUGAAUCUGCCAAUCAAGUUAACCUGAAAGCUUAUAUUUGGAAUUGUGGCUUCCUUGUUAACGACAGUAAAAGUAUUUCGUUGAAAAACUGCGAACGUGUUUACAACUGAAGGAAGGAGCUGCCUUAUAUAACCUAUACAGGUUAAGGCUACAAAAAGAAGUAUUGGAGAAGGCAGUCAAAUCAUAUCUGAAGUCUCAGUGGUGUUUGCUAGUAUUGAAUGUAUCGAACGAUGCUUUUUUAUCGUACAAGUACAGAAGGUCUUCUUAUGUAUUUCGUCUUCAUGGUUUCACAUGUAAGGUUUAGAAACUAGUAAGGCAAGUCUGUCCUGAAUGCGAUUAACAUUUUUUUUGGCUCUUAAAGGUAAAUCUGCAAAUCUUCAGAGGCCCAUUUUUUUAAAAUUUAGAUAGCUGGUUAUAUAUCUUUGGUGCUACAGUAUUUGGUAGUCGAGGAGAGCUCUUGUACUGGCAACUAUGUUAUGGCUAUUUUUGCCUUAGAAACACAUUAAUUGUGUUGAUAACAUUAAAGGACUACAGCAAACAGAAAUGUCAAAGUAGCAUUCAGAUUAACUGAUUCCCAAUUUACGCGAAUUGCGUAUUGAUGUCAAGAGUGUGGCAAAUUGCCACUUUAUGAUGGAUUGUCGGCUGUCGUUUGAAGUCAAAGGCAUCGAAAGGGUUCCAAAAAUAAAUUUUAAUGCUUCCCGUAAAAGCAAGUGUAAGAAUAUUCAUGUGCCUGAGUACAAAAUCCCCUCGCCUACGAACGACUGUUUACAUAGCCAAAUGUAAACAAUCUUACCGACGGCAAAAUAUCUUCAGCCGGUCUUAAAAAGGUGAAUUGAUGUUUGGAUUUCAUCCGUUUAUUACAACAAUUAAAGUAAUGGUUGUUUGUG